RNAcentral lists this ribosomal RNA (253 nucleotides) under uncultured bacterium. RNAcentral's name for it is "partial 16S ribosomal RNA". It matches the Rfam family "Bacterial small subunit ribosomal RNA", at positions 524 to 776 of the family's 1533-position model. The record is from RNAcentral.
UACGUAGGGCGCAAGCGUUGUUCGGAAUUACUGGGCGUAAAGCGUGUGUAGGCGGUCCGCUAAGUCGGGUGUGAAAGCCCUGGGCUCAACCCAGGAAGUGCACUCGAAACUGGCGGGCUAGAGUACUGGAGAGGUUGGUGGAAUUCUCGGUGUAGAGGUGAAAUUCGUAGAUAUCGAGAGGAACACCGGUGGCGAAGGCGGCCAACUGGACAGAUACUGACGCUGAGACACGAAAGCGUGGGGAGCAAACAGG